UUAGAGUUGAUUUCCCUGCUCAGGAUGAACGCUGGCGGCGUGCCUAAUACAUGUAAGUCGAACGGGGAGCGAGCAAUUCGUUGUGAGCUCUUAGUGGCGAACGGGUGAGUAACACGUUGGUGACCUGCCCCGAAGCGGGGGAUAACAGCUCGAAAGGGCUGCUAAAACCGCAUAAGCUCUACCAUGUUAGAGGAGGUAGAGGAAAGGCUACGUGAGUAGCUGCUUUGGGAGGGGCCUGCGGCCCAUCAGCUAGUUGGCAGGGUAACGGCCUACCAAGGCGAAGACGGGUAGGGGGCCUGAGAGGGCGAUCCCCCACACUGGCACUGAAACACGGGCCAGACACCUACGGGUGGCAGCAGUAGGGAAUAUUGCACAAUGGGCGAAAGCCUGAUGCAGCAACGCCGCGUGCGCGAUGAAGGCCUUCGGGUUGUAAAGCAGCUUCUCGGGGGGAUGAGAAGACAGAC
This 464-nucleotide ribosomal RNA is filed under the name uncultured bacterium. RNAcentral's name for it is "bacterial SSU rRNA". It matches the Rfam family "Bacterial small subunit ribosomal RNA", at positions 1 to 458 of the family's 1533-position model. The record is from RNAcentral.